CGCAGGCCGCGAGCAACAGAUCCUAAACCAGCUGAGGGAACCAUCUAAACCGGGACAACAGACAAUGAGGAUGCAGCAUGAAUUAACAAAGAUGCUUAAGAAGAUAGACGCAAAACGUAACAAUCACAAACGGAAAGUACAAAAACGAAGACUUCUUGGAUAAGGAUAUCUACCUGGGUACCUACAAAACCAACUAGUACAAUUUCAGGCACAAUUCAA
This 219-nucleotide unclassified non-coding RNA is filed under the name Bombus terrestris (buff-tailed bumblebee). Its description in RNAcentral is "misc RNA ENSBTSG00005037566.1". Lineage: Eukaryota; Metazoa; Arthropoda; Insecta; Hymenoptera; Apidae. The record is from RNAcentral.